AGAAUGUUGAGACUGAAGAGAUCCAAGGCUGCUGGAAAAGACUUCUUAGGAUCAGGCCUGGGAAUUCAGCCGUCAGACCCCUGGGUCCCAGAUCACACACACACACAAAAGAAAGUGGGCAGGGGUCAGCCAAGCCCCCAGGAGACCAAGAGAGCUGGGUUCUCAGCCACCUCCAGUUUCGAGGCUCUCCAAGCCGAAGAACCCUCUGGCUCCAGCUCUACUUGAAGGAGUCUCUACAAAAACUAACCAACCCGAGAACAAAUUCUUGCCCAGGGCCGAUUCCCAGAAACCCCCUCCCCAACAUCCUUUAUACCAGCGUGGUGAGCCUCCCGCCAACCACAGUUCCAACCAAUCUCAAGCCUGAGGUAGGCUUGCCAGGGCUAUGAUUGGCUGAUUGAUCCUCCCAGUCUUGGAAUGUUGGGUCCUUAACAAAGGAAUGAGGAAGGAAGGUGAGUCACCUGGGGAGGGUUUUAAAGGGCCAGGAGCAGGAGGGAAAAGGGAAAGGAGGGAAGAGCUCAGUGGGUGAGAUGCAGUGUGCUGGACCCCGAAGAUGCUGCCAUAAUUCCCUAGAGAACAGAGUAGGAAAGACAGACACUACAAGUGGGAUAGAAUUUAGAAUAUAGAGAAAACUAAAUGGGAGAGCAAAAGUAACAAACACAGGGCCUUAAUUCCCAUGGAAGGGUAAUAAAGGGUCUAGGGAAUAAUGUUGUUGGAAGUUAGAUUGAAAUAAGGACUUCCUGAAAGUGACU
This 749-nucleotide long non-coding RNA is filed under the name Homo sapiens (human). RNAcentral's name for it is "non-protein coding lnc-TTC24-4:1". The record is from RNAcentral. Lineage: Eukaryota; Metazoa; Chordata; Mammalia; Primates; Hominidae.